AGCGUUAUCCGGAUUUAUUGGGUUUAAAGGGUCCGUAGGCGGAGUCUUUAAGUCAGUGGUGAAAUCCCAGAGCUCAACUCUGGAACUGCCAUUGAAACUGAAGAUCUUGAAUUUAGUUGAGGUAGGCGGAAUACGUUAUGUAGCGGUGAAAUGCAUAGAUAUAACGUAAAACACCGAUUGCGAAGGCAGCUUACUAAACUAACAUUGACGCUGAGGGACGAAAGCGUGGGGAGCGAACAGGAUUAGAUACCCUGGUAGUCCACGCCGUAAACGAUGAUUACUCGCUGUGUGCAAUACACUGUACGUGGCUAAGCGAAAGCAUUAAGUAAUCCACCUGGGGAGUACGUUCGCAAGAAUGAAACU
RNAcentral lists this ribosomal RNA (363 nucleotides) under uncultured Cytophagia bacterium. Its description in RNAcentral is "bacterial SSU rRNA". It matches the Rfam family "Bacterial small subunit ribosomal RNA", at positions 537 to 901 of the family's 1533-position model. The record is from RNAcentral. Lineage: Bacteria; Pseudomonadati; Bacteroidota; Cytophagia.